AAUUUUAUACAUAAACUAAACCUUGUCAACCGCAAAUCUUUCAUAAUACCAAAUAAUUCAAUAAUAAUAGCAUACCAAUGUUCAACAUAAACCGAACAUUCAUAAGUUGGAUUAGAUCUACCAAUAUUCAUCAUCGACAUAUGCGCAACCAUCAUGCAAAUAUAUAAUCCUGAAUCUCGGCAUUCAUAUUGCAGCUAGGUAAAUUAUAAAAAAUUUUUCAGACCUGAUAGUAGCACACAGACCAAGCACA
RNAcentral lists this long non-coding RNA (250 nucleotides) under Ananas comosus (pineapple). Its description in RNAcentral is "long non-coding RNA (ACOM_LNC023001)". The record is from RNAcentral. Lineage: Eukaryota; Viridiplantae; Streptophyta; Magnoliopsida; Poales; Bromeliaceae.